RNAcentral lists this long non-coding RNA (1326 nucleotides) under Junco hyemalis (dark-eyed junco). Its description in RNAcentral is "lncRNA (ENSJHYG00000003798.1)". Lineage: Eukaryota; Metazoa; Chordata; Aves; Passeriformes; Passerellidae. The record is from RNAcentral.
AUCGGGGCUCGGCUGAGGGGCGGCUCUUCCCUCAGCCCACUCGCACAGAGCCAGACACACCCGGUACCCCGGCGGCUGCCCGGUGUGUGAGGGGGCCGGCCGGGCUCCAGCCCCUCCCUCCCCCGGGCCGGGAAGCGAAAGCGAAAGGCGGCCCCGAGCCGGCUCCGGAGGUGGCUGUGGAGCCGCCGGUAGCUGCAGCAGCCCCGGCCGUGCCCCCGGCCCGUCCCCCCGGCCGUGCCCCCGGCCCGUCCCGGCCGUCCCCGCCGGGAGCCGAGCGGUGAGGGAGGCCUCGGGUCCCUUGGAGGAGUCGUGGAUAAACCAAAGAACAACUAUUGUUCAUUUCUGCUUUCACUUUCCUUUUUUUCCCACAGAAAACUGUUACAGAAGUCUCUGAAUUUUCCCGACCCAAACCAGAAAAGGAUUCCGGGAUCCAAAACCUCAGUUUCAAGCCUCUGAGAGGGCGGUGUCGGCUCAGAAUCAAGGUUUCCAUGGAUUUUACCAGCCCUCCAUUAUCUCUCCAAGACAAUGGUUUUAGUAUGGUACCCACUGAUCCACUGGGGACACCCCUGGAAGAGACUGAAAAACUCAAGGAAGAGCUGAGGAUGUGGAAGAUAAGAGUUGAAGAUGCUGGGAAGGUGAAAGCUGACCUGUUUUACUCCAAGCUAGCAGCAGAGGCGGAGUGUGGCAGGGCAGAGAGGCAGCUGGCAGAGCUGAAGGAGCAGCAGAGGCAGAGGAAGGACAGCAGCACCAGCUGUGAGGUGUGCAGGGGGCUGGAGUGUCACCAUGUGUCGAGGGAAGGAGACCAGGACAUCAAUUGAUCAUCACAGGCCCAAUUUUAUUGAUCAGUAUGGCGGGUUAAAUACAGUUCAUAAUGAACUUGAUGCAUAUUGCAAAAGUUGAGCUCAGGAUUGGUUAGUUACAUAUCAGCAACUACACCUACUUCUGCAUUUCUAUGGUUCUGCUUUUGAUACUUUCUACAUAUUCUCAGGAGAUAUUCAGGAGUAAUCUCAACUCCCUAUCCCCAUGUUGCAGCGAGGCCACUGAUUGCUAAUUGCUGACAUCUCCUUUCAGCUUGCUGACUGCUGACUUCCCUCUCUCAGCUUAACCAGCGGCAUUAUGUCAGCAUGGCCUUUCUCAGCUAGCCAACUAUUAACAAAACUCUCCACACUGGAGGUGUUUGCAGGGCUGGCAAAAUGGGAGCAACAUUCCCAGUUUCACUGCCUUUGCCGGUCGGAUGUUCCACGUGUUCUUUGCUGCACUUCAGCUUUUCACUGGCAGGCAAAGAGACUGCAAUAAAAUGAAUCUGUUUUGGGGUGAAACCUGCCA